RNAcentral lists this ribosomal RNA (373 nucleotides) under uncultured Glomeromycotina. Its description in RNAcentral is "bacterial SSU rRNA". It matches the Rfam family "Eukaryotic small subunit ribosomal RNA", at positions 702 to 1077 of the family's 1831-position model. Lineage: Eukaryota; Fungi; Glomeromycota. The record is from RNAcentral.
GACAAACCUUGUAGCGUCUUUAAUUGGUGGUGCGCGGGAAACCAGAACGGUAACUUUAAAAAAUUUAAGUGGUUAAAGCCAGGCAACCCCUGAAUAACUUAACCAGGAAAAAGAAAUAAGAACUUUAAACCUAUUUUGUUGGUUUCUAGGAUCGACGUAAUGAUUAAUAGGGAUAGUUGGGGGCAUUAGUAUUCAAUUGUCAGAGGUGAAAUUCUUGGAUUUAUUGAAGACUGACUACUGCGAAAGCAUUUGCCAAGGAUGUUUUCAUUAAUCAAGAACGAAAGUUAGGGGAUCGAAAACGAUCAGAUACCGUCGUAGUCUUAACCAUAAACUAUGCCAACAAGGGAUCGAAUGAUGUUAUUUUUAAAGACAC